Non-coding RNA from Chlorocebus sabaeus (green monkey), 10031 nucleotides. Lineage: Eukaryota; Metazoa; Chordata; Mammalia; Primates; Cercopithecidae. The record is from RefSeq and is a predicted model, not a curated record.
AAAUAAACAAAAGAAUUGAUUGAAAGUCAUUGUCCCUGGAAAGCAGGAAUUGGAAAGGAAACUGCUGGUUUUUAAAAAUUGCUGUUGUUUCGGGUCUUGUGGUAAUAUUCACAUUUUUAAACUGUAUACAUUGAUACUACAAAGAAUUUAAAAGUAAAUGUAAAGUACAUUUGGAAUGUUGAGAAAAACAUACUUCCCUAUAAUGGCUGGUGUGACAACUAGGAAAAAUCCCUAACAGAUAAGCAUUCUAUCUUCACUUUAUAUAUGAGGAAAUUAAAGCCCACAGAGAUUAUGCAGGUUGACACAGUUAUUCAGUGACAGAGCCAGGCAUCAAACCCAAUCUUUCUGCUUCCUGUUUCAGGGAUCUUCAUAAUACCUCCUGCCUUCUCAUUAUCUAGUUUGUAUUUGUCAUGUUGCUUUAAAUAAUAUCAUCCACACAGAAACAACUUCAAAAAACUGAAAGUAGAAAAUGGCAUCCUUCAUUAGGCAUGGCUGAGCUAGAUGAACAGAUUCUAACGAUAUCUUAGAUCUCUGUUGCACCCUGUUUUGAAGACAGUGAGGAAUAGAGAUGAACAUUAAGUAGCACAUAUAACUUUGGAACCUAAAGCCUUUCCGAAUGGAUAAAUGCUUCUUGUUACACUAUCCCAAGAAAAAGAAUUGAUCUCAUCACUUAACAAAUGUUUUCAAUUUGAUUCAGUGCACCUGGGAAAUAACAUUUCUAUUUGCUGCCAAAAUAUGAUUGCAUUAAACUUUAAUAAUGUACCUGUCAUGGGGGUUAGACAAGAAUAUUUUAAUUGAGUGUCAACUACACCCCACUGGAAUACACUAAUAGAUUUACUUUUUCAAAAAGUUAGAAACAUUGAUGAACUCUUAGUUGUCUGCUAUUAGUUUUAUAUAGCCACUGAUUAGUAUUGCCCCCCUUCCACAAGUACAAGGCAUCACUAGACUUCUCCUUGGUAACCAGAUAUUUUUUUGUGUCCUUCGGUACUUGUUCCUGGAAGUGUCAUUAUGAUGUCUGCAAUUUGCGGAAUUCAAUGGCAGCUCCAGUUAAAUAAACAAAAUCUAAUUAUGUCAGAAUUAGGCUUUGCUCAAAUUAGUAUGAUUGAUUUUCUUUCUGUAUAAUCUGUGAACACCUGCAAAAAUGGUAAAUGUCAAGGUGUUUCUUAGAAAACUUUAAAAAAUUUAAAAGAUCUGGUGAGGGAAAUGUAGAUUGCGUUGCUGUAUAGUCUAUAUGUUUGAUCUUUUUAGUCUAGGUCCUUGCGUUUUGGAUUUAUGAACCCUGCAAUUUUAUGCAAAAUGACACAUGAGUGUGCAUUUUGCAAAAAGAUUGUCUUUAACUUUCAUGAAAUUUUAAAAGAGGUUUCUAACCCCCAAACCACAAAGAACCGUUGCUUUCCAGAAAGAAAUAGAAUCCAUGUAGAAUCCUUUAAUUAGGUUUUUCUUAGUGGAAAUAAAAAUAUUUUUGUAAUCGGUGCUAGUAAAUAUCUGAGAGAUAGAAAGUAUUACAUUUGCCUUCCGCUAUUACUAUUCGAUUCCUUUUCUAUUUCUGGAAUCAUGAAUAUCAAAGUUCAUCUAAGACAAAUUUCGUUUCCCCUCCCACUCUACCCCCAAUUUUUUCUUCUAGCUUUUGAGGAUUCAUAUGAGAUUAUCAACAGACAAUACUUUUUGUCAUGGCUUCCUUAUUGAAUUUUUUACUUCUCUUUCUGGAUUACAUACUGAAAAUGUUUAUGAGAAUAGCGAAAAUCUCAAGCAUUUAUAUUACUUAGUGAUGCCAAUGGAAUGAUCCACUCACGUUGGUCUUGGUUUCUUUCAUUGAUCAGAAGCAGACUCUGCGCCAUCUUUGCCAGAGCUCUCACAAGACAUUUCCGCGAAGCAAUUACAGAGCAAGAAGAGCCUCAACUCAAUGAUAGGCCCAAUGCUAAAUGACAAGGUAACGAUUUCUUCAGGAACUGAGGAGAGACAGGCCUGGAAAGUUGUAAUGAUUUUCUUCACAACUAGUAAGAAGAUAAAUGAUAUGAAAGAGGAAUCUUCUCUGAGACAUGUUCACAAGCAGGUCGGACCUUUCAUUCAGAACAAGAUUAUUUUAAUUUUUAACGGUUUAAGAUAUAACUGAUUCAUUCCUUAAAUUAGUUCAUCUUGCUCAAGUCAUUAUAAUAUUAAUUCACUGUUAUUUUUGGUAAUACAGAUCAUUGUUAAUUUUUUGUAUUUAGAAGCCAGGAAUACACAAGGGAAGGGCACAUUCAGAAGUAACUAACACUAUUACAAUUUUAGGACCUUUCCAUUUUAUUGAAUUGGGUUUUAUUUAAAAUUUUGUCUCUCUUUUUUUGUCAUUAUUAUGUCUAAUAUGUUUUCAUUCCUUAAAUCUGCUCUGUAUAUGUUCUGUUCGCAAUAUUUAAACAUACAAUGACUAUAGCUUCAUUUUCCAAAUCUAAUCUAGCCUAAACCCUUUGGUGGGGCAAGAAAAGCAAGUUGUAAAAUAAUCUCUUUGUCGUGACCCUCAAGUCAUAUCUUCUGGACUUGAAAGGUACACUGGAUGUCCUAUGUGUUGGUGCCUCAUGCUGCUCAGCAGGAAAUCUGAACUGUUCUCACCUCUCUGGUCCUUCUCUCUCACCAGCAGAUAUACCCGAGAACAUUCUCCACAUUGUCUUAAUUCUCCUGCUUUCUGCCUUGGGUCACUCAACCCAAAUGGAAGAGAUUGCACUGUUCAUAUUAGGGAUGCUUUAAUUCUAUAGUUCAAAGAUUGCAAUUUAACACAAAAAUCUACUUUUUCUAGUAGAUAACAGUAAAUAACAGUUCUGGUGAAUAUUAAGAGGAGGGAGUCUUUUGUUUAAAAAUAGCCUGCAAUUCAGUAGCAUCAUCUUUAUAAGUAGAGGAUGCACAAUCACCUACUUGCUGGUCACUGCUCUGCUUUGGGUCAUCUGAAGUCGAUCACUGCAUCCUUGGAGGAUGGUGUGAAAUGCCAGUGAAACCAUGAACUAAUUCAAUGACAUGCCCAUUGUUCCACUCACUUAGGCAAAUGCUUUUUCUCAACAGGGAAGCUUCUCACAUAUUCCUAACAGUACUAAAUGAGCUCAAAAAACUUAAGAAUGAUACCCCACUGCUGCUUGUCUCUAGUUCUCAGUUCUCAUCCUGGUGGGCAAGACCCCCAGCAUCAUCUCAGUCAUAAAGUACUUGUAAGUAUUCAGAAAGGCCUAAGUUAACUAUUGUCAGGUUACACAGGUUUGGAAGCUUGAGCACAUUCUAUGGCAUUUGUGGUAUGGCCUCUGUAGAAUCAAUAUCCUUAAUCAUAGAUAGCAGAUGGAGCUGUGAGACAAUGACCUUCCAGAGUGCCUUCCCCAGAUAGACUUAACGCUACCACACUUCAAAGGCAAUCACUGUCCAUCCACUCCAGGUCAGCGUGCAGUGCUGGCCGGGGGCCUGGGCUACCAGAAAGACACUGGCUAGAGUUGAACGCUCAAUCUCCCUGCUCCCAAGUACAGAUAAGAGGUGAGAGAGAGGCUCACAGCCUUCUAGAACUUUAUGUGCUUAAGUGCUGAUAGGAGCUACCAUUUGCUGCAUUUUGGUCACUCUGGAAUAUAAGACCCCUGAGACAGCAGCUGAUGUGGCUAAGGAACAGUCAGGCCAGAUUUGGUGAAACUUAUUUAGCAGAACACAGAAUCCAAGAACCCUCAUGAAUGCCAGUCAAAAGCAUGACUCAGGCAAAGGGAACAGACAAUAAAAAGAAUGACUUCACAUUUCACAGCAGGAAUUCUCUGGCCUCGGAGAACACUAGAUACCUCUGGACCACACAUCCCUUUGGCAGAAUACUUUUCUCAUCUACAGAUCACUGUAUGGCUCGGUUUACCUGAAGCCUCUUGUGGUUUCUCCACCUAAUAACCCACAUGAUUUUUUUCUAGAAAAGCAGCAUAGAUGGAGAUGGAAUGUAACACCUGAAAUAAUAGGAUUUUACAGGAAAUAAUGUAAAUCAAGCCUUUUGCCCUUAAUGACCCAUGAUAAAAUGCUCUUGUUACCAAGCUGUGCAGGCAACCCAGUGCAGGUUGCCAUGGAAACACCCAGCUGCUCCUCUGCGCAGUUGCUUAAUGAUCAGUGUGAUGUCAGGCUCUGGAGAGAAGCACAAGCUCAGACAACUCUUUACAGUCACAGGGACAGUCCACUUGGGACUGCAGUUCGUCUGAGUGGGGGCCCCUGUGUCCAGGUAUAAUUAAAAUGCACUCAGACCUAUGACUGGAAAUGCUUUCAGCAGAAAAUCACGUCGCCUUUUUCAUGUCUCCAUUCAUUUUCAUUUCUCCAUAUGACUUCCCAGUCAGAAGCAAGCCAGAAGCAGGGAGGCCAUGGCAUGUUGCUGCAGAUGGCGCGUCAUCAGUCUGUGACCCGGCUCCUGCUCCACACGGGUGGGAGAUGCAGGGGCUCUACCUUGACCCAUGCCAUAAAAGGUCACCUUUUUGUCCCCUCUUCCCAUGUUCCCUGCAUCUACUUUUCACAGUGACUGGACCUGAAAUUCUCACUAUUACUCAUGGCUUGAUUUAGAUAACAAAGGCAAGAGGUUUUGCCCAGUAUAUUAUUUUCAAAAUGUAUUUAUUAUCUGGGAAGAAAAGACAAGCCCUGGGGAAUCUCUUCCUGUCCUUCGCUCCUUUUAUUUUUUUUCUCCCUUCCUCUCUUUCAUUCUCUCUCAAAAGGGUUUAUUAGGUGCCUAUUGUCUGCAGGUAAUUACCAGAAACACAAGGAUGAAUGAAGCUUGAUUGCUGUCCUCCAGGAGCUGACAGGUUAUUAGAUGGGGACAGGCAUGUAAACGAAUGCGUGAGCUAAAGAGACAGAGGUGUGUACAGGGCACAGGUGGAUAAAUCCUACCUGAGGGAGAGCUGGAAAGGCUUUUUCAGGGGUGGGGGGUGGGGGUGGGGGGCGUUGCUUACUAGGCAACCUCUUGGGAAGAAAUUAAUGGGAUUGUGGAAUUAAUGGGAGGAAGGGAAGAGGGACACUGUGAGUAAAGACUGAAGGCACAAAAUAAUCUCGUAUGCUUGAUAAAUUGCAAGCAGUUGAGAAUGGCUGGAGCUUUGGCCAGGAUAGUAGUCUAGGGAGAAAUACAUCAGAAGUAGGCAGGAGUGAGAAGCUAAUGAAGUUUGACUUUACUUUACAGGCCAGUAGGAGCUACUUAAGCAUUUUCAGGAGGGAAGACAGAGAAUUAGACUUGCCGUUUAGGAAGAUCACUUUUUUUGGUGGGGGGGCAACGAAGAGCAUAUACUGAGGAAGUAGGAGACACGGAAUAAUUAGGGAGUUAGUGGGAGAGCGUGACUGUACAGAACGGCUAUUGUUUUUUUGUCUAACAUCUGUUUCUUUGGAAGAGAAUCACCUGUCUCUCAUUGCCUGGCCCACUCACACAAGGGUGGACAAAUGACCCAAACUCAACCCAUUACAGUACCCGUCCCUGGUUCAGGUGGGCACAUAAUCCAAGCAGUUUUUAUCAAGCUUCUCUACUGAAAAUUCACAUAUGCACGCCUAGACAUAGAAUUAUUUCUCCUCCUCCUACUCCUUCUCCUCCUUCUUCUUCUUUCUUUUUCUUCUUCUUCUUUAUAAAAGGAUGUAGCCUUGCAGCUUCCAGAGGCCAUCUUUCUUGUUACACAGAGAAAACCUGAUCAUUAAGCCAAUACUUGCAGGAAAAUGAACAAGAAGGGGAAACAGAGCUGUAUUAAUAUUGUUUGAGCCUCUAACGUCUAGAGUCUACAUCCCUCUGUGUCUGAAACCAGUUUACCAAUGGACUUUAGGGUUAUAUACACCAAUAAGUUUAUUUUUGCUUGAGUAAGCUUGAGUUAGUUUUUAGUCACUUGGGGCUGAAUGAUUCCUGAUUAUGAAAACAGGUAAAAAUGAUGACAGCUUAAGCCAAGGUUGUAGGGGAUGGAAAGGAUGGUUUAGUCAAAGUUAAGGAAACCACCCAGGAAUUGGAGAGAGAGAGACUAUGGAGUGGAAGGGGAAAAAAAUCAACCAGAAUUAUGCCCAGAUCCUUUGUUUCAAUGAAUAACAAUGCCACCUUAUAAGACAUUGAAUAUAAGAAGAGAAACAAUUAUUUUGGGAAAGAGGUACAUGUUUUAAUUUAUUGGGUUUUAGAUAUUUGAGGGAUGUCUAGUUGAAAUUUUUGAGUAAAUAAUUAAGAUUUUCUAUAACCCACUCCCUGAAAUACAUGCAACUUAUAGAACCACAUGAUGGUAAGCAUCUUAAAAGUCUUCCAAUCAUGCUACUCAUUUGAUACUUUAAUUCCUUCUGUUGAACAUUUAUUAAGUGCCUGUUGGUGUCAUGUGCUGUGCUAGGAGGAAAGUCACAAUAUGUAUUCACAGCCUGCAUUCUCGUGAGGUUCACGGUCUAGCUGGGGAGACAGACGUGGUAUUUCCAUGGGCUGAGAGAGAAGAGCUACUAGUGGCACCUGUGAAGUACUGGAGGGACACAGAGGUUGAACCUUCCAGCUGUGGACCUACAACUCCUGAUCAAAAGGGUUGUGCAGUUUCUGGUUUGAAUCUCCCGAAAGCAGAGAUGGAUGCGUAGACUCUACAAUGGAGAAAGGAGCGGUCCAUUCCCUAAGUUCCAUUCUGGACACUGAAUAGCAUCUUGGGAGAAACCAAAAUGGGAUCCCACUCUAGAACAAUUUCGACUAAUUCAUGUGGAUACGCCACCUUCAAAGAGGUGAGACGGUGUGGUCUGCCCACAGUCACUUCCUUCAGAAAACAGGGAAUAAAAGAAUAUCUUUCCAUUGGAGAAACCUGCUGGACACCACCUCAGCCAGGUGAUCAAAGUCAACAACAGUGGUAAGUCAUGUUCAUCGAAUGUAUCCCUGACAUGAGGAAAAUGGUAUUUUACCUCUGUGUUCUUCCUCUCCCAAACCUGUAACUCCAGAUUAAUCAUGAGGAAAGCAACAGACAAUUCCCAAUGAAAGGACAUUCAAAAAAAUGCCUCAAAAUUGUCAAGGUCAUCAGAAAUGAAAAACAUGAGAAACUGUCUCAGCCUAAGAAGACACAACUAGUAAAUACCAUGUGGCAUCCCAGAUGAGAUGCUGGAAUAGAAAAAGGAUGUUAGGUGAAAUCUAAGGAAAUCUGAAUAAAGUAUGAACUGAAAUUAAUAAUAAUGUGUCAACAUUGGUGAAUUAAUUGCAGCAAAUGUGCCUUAACGUAAGAUGCUAAUAACAAAGGAGACAGAGCAUGGGGCAUAAGAACUGUCUUUGCAAGUUUUCUGUAAGUCUAAGACCAUUCUAAAAAAUCGAGUUUUUUUUUAAAAAAUACUUCUCUUUCCUGUAAUAAUGUAAGACAGAUUAGGGGAGAACCAUAUAACAAAGUCUAGAAUCAAUUGAAGUGGCAUCAUAAAGCUAAAUUCCAGAAAAAGGUGACCAUCUGGCUUCGUGGAACCCAAAUGUGCUGGCUUAGUGCUAAAGUGGCAGCCAGGAAGGGUUUAAAUGGUGUUAUCAUUAAUACAUAUUUGGCAGCAGGAAUUUCCAUUAUUAGCAGCUGAAAAAACAUGCCAUGGAACAUUUGAACAGAACUGUACAGGAAAAUACAAACUCUCCCAACUUUGCUCUCUUUAUGCAGCUGACAUCUCCUGAGAAACAAAGAGCCAAGUUUUUCUUUUCAGAGCCUGCAAGAUUUAUUUUUUUUAGAAAAAUCUACCUUUAAUUACUGUAGAAUGCUCCCUGAUGCUCAAAGACUACUGAGCUCAUUGGAUGCCUAUGGACUAAGAACUGGGCUUUGUUAUUAUUAUUUAGAAAACAAACAGGUUCAGAGAGGGUCAGUGAUUUGCUCUGAAUUCACAUCUGGUAAGUUGCGGAACUGGAACUUGAACCUAGGUCUUUCAAAUAAAAACUGAAUGUCCUUUAUACAACUAAAAAUGACUCGAGACAUCUUUUUGUCCUGUUGUUUGGCUUAUGUUAGUGGACAUCAGACACCCAAAACAAAAAUGUCACCUUCUGAUGAGUGAAGACAACAAGGUGGGCUUUGGCCUUCCCAAUGGGUAUUGACACUAACAAACCAGAAAAUUCUUCUGAGCAACACUGAGCCUCAGUUUUAUCAUUUAUUUUCUUCUUUCAAUUUGUCCCUCAAAUGCUUUCACCAUCUCUGUUUCUUGUAUUAAUCUGAUCAUUUUUGUCUUUGAUUCCUGCACAGCUGGUGAAGUCACUCUUCACCUUAUUUGGUUCUCCUUCUACACUGCAUUUCAGCUUUAAUCACCUCUCUCAUCUGCCUGAUGCUGAGACCCUAGUCCCUGUUCCUGUUUGCCUUGGUCUUGACCACAUGACAAAGAGUAUUAGACUAUCAGAGAAUACCCAAUGCUAUUUUGAAUCGAAAAUCUGCACUAUUUUCAAAAGUUCACUGGGAAACUGGAGUACUUGAUAAUUCAGUUAUUAAGAACAUCUAAUUCUACCUCAUCUCUCUUCUGUGGGGGAUAAGAUUUAAUAUGUAUCACUUCUAAUAAAAGGAAAUGAGGAAUUGGGUCAUUCUUUUCAAUUUCACAGUAAUAUUUCACUGACCUCUAAAAAUACCUCCUAUUAAAAUGUAUAGAAACCAAUUCUUGGGCAGAGCUCAGACUUGAAUAGAUGCAAAGAAUAAUACUGCACAUUAGAAGAAGAAAUCUCUUCCGAAUAGGACCUUAGGUUUUAACAAUCCAACCAACUUAGAAACAAUGGGACACUUUGAAAUGUACUUAGAUCUCUGUCAGUGAGUUUUCCAAAGAAAGUCAGGGCCACUUUUAUUGGGGAUGUUGUCAAAGAGAUUCGUAUUUUACAUGUUGGGGUGAAGGGCCUGGGGAAAUGUUGUGGAUCACUUUGAAAUUAGUUUUUUAAACCUACAUAUAAAAUGACAUUUUAUAUUGAGUCACUCUAGCCUAUUAAAACUCAUCUCAACUUUUGUUACCAGAGUGCAAUUUUCCUUGUGCAGCACUUUGCGAAUUCUCACUGCCCUCUGCUAAUAAUUCUGAAUUCGAAUCUAUAUCCUCUUAGAGAGAGUGAGACCUUUGCACUUCUAAAGAUUGCAGAGCCAGUGGCUUUGUCUCCAUGUGACUGUGCACUGAAGGGUAAUGUUCUCAUGCCUCAAGGGGCAGCCAGAUAGCCUGGGGAAGAGCAAUGGAAUAGAGCACGCUGGGAGAGCCAAGGCCUGAAAUUAGGGAGUAGGGAGAAAUGUUGGCUACAGGCCCUGAGAAGUAUAGUCUAGCAGAUAGAAUGCUGUAUCCAAGGGUAGGGAAAUAGAUAUGGGGGCAGGGCGUGGGAGGUGGAGAGAAUGUGUUGGAAGCAAAGAUCUCAGAGCAAUGUAGUAGGAAAAUUAUGAAAGACAACCAGAGAAAAGUAAUGAAGACUGAAGGAUAGAGUAAUAGUCAGGUGUUUCAUGAAAGGGCUGUAUAUGUAAAGCAACCCCCAAAAUGCAGAAGGAACUUAAUAACCAAAGAAGGAGGCACACAAGUCCUGCUUGCAUUAUAGAGAGAUUUUAUUGGGGAAUUUACAGACAGAAGUAUGGUCUUUGGUAGACGCAAGUCAGGUAAAUUUCCUCACCAUUACUCCCAGACCCAGGGAUUAUAUACCCUAGGAAAAGGGUACACAUACUUCAGAGGGAAUAGGAAGGAAUUUGAUCUAAGGGUAGGAUUUAUGGGUAGUAUGAGUUUAUGAAGGUUGAUUUGAUCUAAGGACAGGAUUUAUGGUAACUAUGUGCUCUUACACAGGAAGCAGAGAUAAAUUGGAAAUCUCAGAUUCAAUCCUGGAAAGGGGGUUAAUCAGAAGUCAUUAUGGCAGAUUCGCUUCCAAGAUGGAGUCACUUUAACCUUCACAUCAGGAGUCUAGGAAGACAGAAAAUAAGCACGUAGCAGAGUUUCACCAUCUAUGCUGGGCUUAAAAAAAUAAGACUGAUCCCGGAUUAGUCCUUGUGGCCAAAGAACAAAGAAGUGGGCAGGCAAGAAUGAGGCAAGACUCAGUACAAGAGACAAUGCCAAGGCCCGGCGCAGUGGCUCACGCCUGUAAUGCCAGCACUUUGGGAGGCCGAGGCGGGCAGAUUACCUGAAGUCUGGAGUUCGAGACC